This 292-nucleotide ribosomal RNA is filed under the name uncultured bacterium. Its description in RNAcentral is "partial 16S ribosomal RNA". It matches the Rfam family "Bacterial small subunit ribosomal RNA", at positions 505 to 796 of the family's 1533-position model. The record is from RNAcentral.
GUGUCAGCAGCCGCGGUAAUACGGAGGAUGCGAGCGUUAUCCGGAUUUAUUGGGUUUAAAGGGUGCGUAGGCGGAUUAAUAAGUCAGUGGUGAAAACCUUCAGCUUAACUGGAGACUUGCCAUUGAUACUGUUAGUCUUGAGUACGGUCAAGGUAGGCGGAAUGUGUAAUGUAGCGGUGAAAUGCUUAGAUAUUACACAGAACACCGAUUGCGAAGGCAGCUUACUGGGCCAUUACUGACGCUGAUGCACGAAAGCGUGGGGAGCGAACAGGAUUAGAUACCCCUGUAGUCC